CGCGAAGGACGAGAGGCCUUAGAAUGAUCUUCAUGAAGGCCCAAAACAUUAAACUCUAUAUCAAAUUUCAAGAACAUCAAUAUAGGUAGCUUAGAGCGAAUAGAGGUCCAAAAAGGCAACAAGCUUGAAACGGAUGUCGACCAGCUGGGGGUUAUAUGUAGGCCAGGUUAAUAACAAUUUGACAUUUGAAAACUGCUGAAGCCAUCAAUAGGCAAGUGCAAGAAUUCAAGAUUGUAAACAAUCCUUAUUAGCAAACCUAUGGCUCCUUGAGGUGUUUAAAUGGCAAUUCCACUAAAUCAAGACUAGAUUUCAUGUAAAUGCUUAUUUACAUUUCAUAGAAUUGAUAGUCUUGAACAAGUCUGUAAGGUGGUGGUGAUUAUAUUGGUUGAAUUCCAUCUUUGGAGAAAUAAGAGUGAAGGGGAUUUAUUUAUUAUUAUUAAGGCUGUAUUAAGCUGUACAUAGUAUAGAUGCAUAUGUUGGGGCUAAAUAUAUACAUUGUGUAAAUGUCACUACAUUUUCCUGACAAAAGAAGUUUUGUCGGAAUGAAAAUGUCAAAUCUGCCCCACCUUGGGAUGCGGGUAUUUAGGUGUGCCUACAUCACAGUCAUGUGGGGUACCUGACAUUUUUUAGUUUAGAGAUCUUAAGUCUUCAAGAACAAUUUAAUUUAUUUGGAGGGUAGAAUGUGAUGAUGACAAAUGUAAAUAACCAGUUGAGUAUAUAUAUUAAGCUCUAAGCCUCUUAAAAUUCACACCUUUUGUCAUGGUAGGUAAAGCCAAGGUAUAGCUUCACUAGCACCUAAUAUUAAACUGCUGUAUUUUUUAGUUGUAUUUUGAUCAUUAUAAUCAUAACUCUAACUCCUACUUUGGCUGAAUUGCACUCCAUAAAAUGUAUUUAUAAACAGAAUUUAUACAAUGUGUUUGGCAUAAUCUAUAAGUUGGAACUUGGGUAUCGUCUUAACCUAUUAACCACCAAUUGGACUAAUACAUUUUUCUUGAAUGUGUGACAAAGGAGACAAUUGUUCUUGGUUGAUGAACAGGGGCCGGUUGUUCAAAAGGCGUUUAGCUUAAA
Molecule: long non-coding RNA, 1068 nt
Organism: Dendronephthya gigantea
Lineage: Eukaryota; Metazoa; Cnidaria; Anthozoa; Malacalcyonacea; Nephtheidae
Exons: 3
Source: RefSeq, a predicted model, not a curated record